AGCGUACACGGUGGAUGCCCUGGCAGUCAGAGGCGAUGAAGGACGUGCUAAUCUGCGAUAAGCGUCGGUAAGGUGAUAUGAACCGUUAUAACCGGCGAUUUCCGAAUGGGGAAACCCAGUGUGUUUCGACACACUAUCAUUAACUGAAUCCAUAGGUUAAUGAGGCGAACCGGGGGAACUGAAACAUCUAAGUACCCCGAGGAAAAGAAAUCAACCGAGAUUCCCCCAGUAGCGGCGAGCGAACGGGGAGCAGCCCAGAGCCUGAAUCAGUGUGUGUGUUAGUGGAAGCGUCUGGAAAGGCGCGCGAUACAGGGUGACAGCCCCGUACACAAAAAUGCACAUGCUGUGAGCUCGAUGAGUAGGGCGGGACACGUGGUAUCCUGUCUGAAUAUGGGGGGACCAUCCUCCAAGGCUAAAUACUCCUGACUGACCGAUAGUGAACCAGUACCGUGAGGGAAAGGCGAAAAGAACCCCGGCGAGGGGAGUGAAAAAGAACCUGAAACCGUGUACGUACAAGCAGUGGGAGCACGCUUAGGCGUGUGACUGCGUACCUUUUGUAUAAUGGGUCAGCGACUUAUAUUCUGUAGCAAGGUUAACCGAAUAGGGGAGCCGAAGGGAAACCGAGUCUUAACUGGGCGUUAAGUUGCAGGGUAUAGACCCGAAACCCGGUGAUCUAGCCAUGGGCAGGUUGAAGGUUGGGUAACACUAACUGGAGGACCGAACCGACUAAUGUUGAAAAAUUAGCGGAUGACUUGUGGCUGGGGGUGAAAGGCCAAUCAAACCGGGAGAUAGCUGGUUCUCCCCGAAAGCUAUUUAGGUAGCGCCUCGUGAAUUCAUCUCCGGGGGUAGAGCACUGUUUCGGCAAGGGGGUCAUCCCGACUUACCAACCCGAUGCAAACUGCGAAUACCGGAGAAUGUUAUCACGGGAGACACACGGCGGGUGCUAACGUCCGUCGUGAAGAGGGAAACAACCCAGACCGCCAGCUAAGGUCCCAAAGUCAUGGUUAAGUGGGAAACGAUGUGGGAAGGCCCAGACAGCCAGGAUGUUGGCUUAGAAGCAGCCAUCAUUUAAAGAAAGCGUAAUAGCUCACUGGUCGAGUCGGCCUGCGCGGAAGAUGUAACGGGGCUAAACCAUGCACCGAAGCUGCGGCAGCGACGCUUAUGCGUUGUUGGGUAGGGGAGCGUUCUGUAAGCCUGUGAAGGUGUGCUGUGAGGCAUGCUGGAGGUAUCAGAAGUGCGAAUGCUGACAUAAGUAACGAUAAAGCGGGUGAAAAGCCCGCUCGCCGGAAGACCAAGGGUUCCUGUCCAACGUUAAUCGGGGCAGGGUGAGUCGACCCCUAAGGCGAGGCCGAAAGGCGUAGUCGAUGGGAAACAGGUUAAUAUUCCUGUACUUGGUGUUACUGCGAAGGGGGGACGGAGAAGGCUAUGUUGGCCGGGCGACGGUUGUCCCGGUUUAAGCGUGUAGGCUGGUUUUCCAGGCAAAUCCGGAAAAUCAAGGCUGAGGCGUGAUGACGAGGCACUACGGUGCUGAAGCAACAAAUGCCCUGCUUCCAGGAAAAGCCUCUAAGCAUCAGGUAACAUCAAAUCGUACCCCAAACCGACACAGGUGGUCAGGUAGAGAAUACCAAGGCGCUUGAGAGAACUCGGGUGAAGGAACUAGGCAAAAUGGUGCCGUAACUUCGGGAGAAGGCACGCUGAUAUGUAGGUGAAGUCCCUCGCGGAUGGAGCUGAAAUCAGUCGAAGAUACCAGCUGGCUGCAACUGUUUAUUAAAAACACAGCACUGUGCAAACACGAAAGUGGACGUAUACGGUGUGACGCCUGCCCGGUGCCGGAAGGUUAAUUGAUGGGGUUAGCGGUAACGCGAAGCUCUUGAUCGAAGCCCCGGUAAACGGCGGCCGUAACUAUAACGGUCCUAAGGUAGCGAAAUUCCUUGUCGGGUAAGUUCCGACCUGCACGAAUGGCGUAAUGAUGGCCAGGCUGUCUCCACCCGAGACUCAGUGAAAUUGAACUCGCUGUGAAGAUGCAGUGUACCCGCGGCAAGACGGAAAGACCCCGUGAACCUUUACUAUAGCUUGACACUGAACAUUGAGCCUUGAUGUGUAGGAUAGGUGGGAGGCUUUGAAGUGUGGACGCCAGUCUGCAUGGAGCCGACCUUGAAAUACCACCCUUUAAUGUUUGAUGUUCUAACGUUGACCCGUAAUCCGGGUUGCGGACAGUGUCUGGUGGGUAGUUUGACUGGGGCGGUCUCCUCCUAAAGAGUAACGGAGGAGCACGAAGGUUGGCUAAUCCUGGUCGGACAUCAGGAGGUUAGUGCAAUGGCAUAAGCCAGCUUGACUGCGAGCGUGACGGCGCGAGCAGGUGCGAAAGCAGGUCAUAGUGAUCCGGUGGUUCUGAAUGGAAGGGCCAUCGCUCAACGGAUAAAAGGUACUCCGGGGAUAACAGGCUGAUACCGCCCAAGAGUUCAUAUCGACGGCGGUGUUUGGCACCUCGAUGUCGGCUCAUCACAUCCUGGGGCUGAAGUAGGUCCCAAGGGUAUGGCUGUUCGCCAUUUAAAGUGGUACGCGAGCUGGGUUUAGAACGUCGUGAGACAGUUCGGUCCCUAUCUGCCGUGGGCGCUGGAGAACUGAGGGGGGCUGCUCCUAGUACGAGAGGACCGGAGUGGACGCAUCACUGGUGUUCGGGUUGUCAUGCCAAUGGCACUGCCCGGUAGCUAAAUGCGGAAGAGAUAAGUGCUGAAAGCAUCUAAGCACGAAACUUGCCCCGAGAUGAGUUCUCCCUGACUCCUUGA
Molecule: ribosomal RNA, 2789 nt
Filed under: Escherichia coli
Lineage: Bacteria; Pseudomonadati; Pseudomonadota; Gammaproteobacteria; Enterobacterales; Enterobacteriaceae
Description: bacterial LSU rRNA
Rfam family: Bacterial large subunit ribosomal RNA
Source: RNAcentral